This 1593-nucleotide long non-coding RNA is filed under the name Homo sapiens (human). Its description in RNAcentral is "HSALNT0210412". The record is from RNAcentral. Lineage: Eukaryota; Metazoa; Chordata; Mammalia; Primates; Hominidae.
ACUUCAGGCCAUCUGGAUGUAUACGUGCAAGUCACAGGGGAUGUGAUGGCUUGGCUUGGGAUCAGAGACCUGACAGUUAUCAUCCUUGUGGCAUCUUCAAAUUCAGAGAAUCCUUCUGGAUUUUUGGACUUUUUUCUCCCUCAACGUGGAUUAAAUGUUGGACUUUUCUCACUCAACUUGGAUUGAAUGUUGUCAUAGAGAUCUAACAGCAAGUGAACUAAUGCUGAUUCAAAGACACCAAGAGAGGGGGCGAAAUGGAAGGUGUGAAAUCACAGAAACCAAGGAGCCAAGAAGAUUGAUACAUGACUGGAGCCUGAAUGGUAGAACUUUUUCAGAAGUGAGGAGUCUGUUGGCCCAGAAGAUCUGCGGUAAGAUCUGCCUCAACAUACCUUACUCAUUUUUUUCAAAGAGACUCUAGAGUCUAAAAUGAACAACCAAUCAAUUCUACAAACAUUGCAUCAUGAGGAGUUGCUGCACCUCUUCUCCAGGAUUUGCAAAACGUGUAGUCCAAAUCGAGUUCGGCUAGAACUGGUCUGUCAUCAAGAUAUGGCUCAUGAAAGAGAUUGGUGUUUAGGAGGCUGGGAAAAGGAAAUAUUUUGAGAGACUUCAUGUGCUCCGCACAUGGAGGUGGCUUCCUUUUGCCUCAGGUGAAGGGAGCUUCAACAAGAUCACUCAGAGUUUGAUCAAUGAUCUUAGAAUUUGCAGAACAUAGGGACUGCCAUUUGACUCACCCUUUAGAAGUCAGGAGGAAAGGUUACGUGGCUGGCACUUCUCAUGUCUGGGAAGGAACAACUGUGAAGUGCUGACCUAGACGAAUGUUGCACUUCCGCUGAUGAGUAGGCAAUGGCGAAUGUUUUCCAGGGUCCAAAUGUGGACCCGGCAACAGAGAGGCUGUCUGUAAUCACUUUAUAAGAGACACUAACAACAAUGACCACUGGGACUAAAGAGAGCACAACGGAAGUAGUUCUGCCAGAAGGGCUGAGGAGAGGGCUGAGCAACCACCCUCAGGGGAGGCAGACCCACAUCAAAGACAUCUCAGCAGUCCCUUUCCCAUGAAAGAAAGAGCUAGAAAUUGUCCAUUUGACACACACACAAACCAGAUCCCAGAUUGCAAUUGAUUCAGAUAAUGAAAAGCUUGUUCUUUUCACUUGCUGUUCUAGCCUAACCAUGUAGGUGUCAGAAGCAGUUGUAGGCUAGGAGAGAAGUCGGAGCAAUACAGAAGCCAGUUCUGCCUUUGCCUCAAGAUCCACUGUCCACUCAGAGGCAGGCUGGCACAUGGGGGAUGAGAACAUUCCAAGAAAGAUGUGAAUCUGGAAUUUUCAUUUAUGCAGUAGAUGGGGAUUUACUACUGAAAGGAACAUGUUUUGGCAACUAAUAGUGACCAAAAGAAUUUGUACUUACUAAAAAUUAUCUUAAAAGCAUGGGAUUACCCUAGCAUUUUGUUUCAGAAACUGAAAUUAACAGAAAACUAUAAAAUUACUUUCUGCCUGAAACCUAAGAAGGUGAACUCAUGCCAGAAACCAGUUACAUUCACAAUUACCUGGAUUUUGUUAUUUCCUACAAUGAAUAAAACUUAUUAUAAAGCAGAAAAGC